UAUAAGUGUAGUUGUGGAUUUUCGUGUUUAACGUUUGACCACUCGUCUUAUUUAGAAAAAAAUACGACUAGUAUUUUUAUUGUUAUUAGAUGAUAAAACAUGAAUAAUAUUUUAUGUGUGACUAUUUUUUAUUUUUUUCAUAAAUUUAUUAAAUAAGACGAAUGGUUGGAUACAAAAAUUUACAACUACACUUAUA
Molecule: non-coding RNA, 196 nt
Organism: Oryza meridionalis
Lineage: Eukaryota; Viridiplantae; Streptophyta; Magnoliopsida; Poales; Poaceae
Source: Rfam